AUUUGAUCUCAAAUCAGGUAAGGCUACCCGCUGAAUUUAAGCAUAUUAAUAAGCGGAGGAAAAGAAAAUAACUAUGAUUCCCCUAGUAACGGCGAGUGAAGCGGGAAAAGCUCAAGGUUUUAAUCUCCAAGGCCCCUUUGUUUGCCUUGGCGAGGUGUAACCUAUGAAUUAUGGAUUUUAUGGUCAGUAGGGCUUAAAUAUGACUGAAACUAGUUGAAUCUAGUACCAUUGAGGGUGAAAGUCCCGUUAAUAGUCAUAUUUAGCUCUGCUAUUGUACCCCAUUUUUCUAGAGUCGGGUUGUUUGGGAAUGCAGCCCUAAAUUGGAGGUAAAUUUCUCCUAAAGCUAAAUAUAUGCAAGAGACCGAUAGCACACAAGUACCGUGAGGGAAAGGUGAAAAGUACUCUGAAGAGAGAGUGAAAAGUACGUGAAACUGUUAGUAGGGAAACGUUUGCACAGCACACUUGCUUGCAGGUAGUUUAGGCUAUCUGUGGCAGCCUUACAGCAAUUUCCCCUGCUCGAUAAAACCCACUGGAAGGUAGGGAGUCUUCUAGUCAGUUAGCCACUUUAUUGGGGUUUUCUGGCCAGACUUCUGUUUAUAGCCAGUGGGAAUAAUAGAGUGGGUAGGAGAUUGAGGACUGCUAAGCAGCUAUAACCUUUUGGUUGUGGCACUGUCCCGCCUUAUCUCCCAAGUAUAAACCUCUGGCUUGACAUUUUUAUGACAGCCGGGGGGAUAACAGCAAGCUGGCUUUGGAUGAGGGGUAAAUGGAACAAAUGCUUAAUGGAUGUAGGGAAGUGUUGAACAAUCGACCCGUCUUGAACACGGACC
RNAcentral lists this ribosomal RNA (827 nucleotides) under Orphella catalaunica. Its description in RNAcentral is "eukaryotic LSU rRNA". It matches the Rfam family "Eukaryotic large subunit ribosomal RNA", at positions 1 to 667 of the family's 3401-position model. The record is from RNAcentral. Lineage: Eukaryota; Fungi; Kickxellomycota; Orphellales; Orphellaceae.